UUCUUUUUAGAUAAAAAGUAUCUUCUGCCAAUUGAAAUUUAAAAGGCCGCCUAGCGCUAAGGUAGCGUAAUCAAAAGUUUAUUAAUUGUGAACCAGCAUGAAAGAAGAAUCCUAACAGAACUAUUUUUAAGUGAGAGUCAAACUUAAAGAAAGCUUAAAAAUCUCUCUUUUCUAGUAGACGAGAAGACCCUAAAAGCUUUCUAUCUAUAGUUAUUUGGGGAAAAUUGUUAAAAUUAAUCUUAAAAGAUUUAAAUGAAAAAACAAAAAAAUAAGCUACUUUAGGGAUAACAGAGUAAUUUAUAAAAAAAGAACGCAUAAAAUUAUAAGCUUACGACCUCGAUGUUGGAUUCUCUAGUCCAACCCCCGUAACCGGGGGUUGGGAGUAGACUGUUCGUUUUUUAAACAGAG
RNAcentral lists this ribosomal RNA (408 nucleotides) under Aculus ichnocarpi. RNAcentral's name for it is "partial 16S ribosomal RNA". The stretch from base 178 to 408 matches the Rfam family "Archaeal large subunit ribosomal RNA", at positions 2156 to 2666 of the family's 2987-position model. Lineage: Eukaryota; Metazoa; Arthropoda; Arachnida; Trombidiformes; Eriophyidae. The record is from RNAcentral.